Molecule: long non-coding RNA, 316 nt
Filed under: Brassica napus (rape)
Lineage: Eukaryota; Viridiplantae; Streptophyta; Magnoliopsida; Brassicales; Brassicaceae
Description: long non-coding RNA (BNAP_LNC024763)
Source: RNAcentral
GCGUUUACUUACUAUAAUUACGAUUUUACCCUUGACCUAAUUCAUUAUUUGAAAAAAACAUAACUAAUAGACGCAACUGCUCUAUCUUUCUUCGAUAAACGCAUCUCGAACUCCAUUGACACAUCUCAAGCUCUGACGAACUCCAUGAUGCAUCUUCGAGCUCCAAUAUUUCUGAGCUCUCUCUCUCGAUCUACCCAUCUCUGAGCUCUCUCUCUUUGGGGUAACUUUCUCUGUUUGGUUUAACUCUCUCUCUCUUUGAUAGUUGGUCUCUGUUCUAAACAUUGAACGUAUCAGAUUCACACUCUCUUGACGAACC